UUAAAUGCCAAAUUAAUUGUGUAGAGCCAUUUUAAUUGACUUUGUGAGUUUGACUUGUCUUGUUGGGUCUUGGUCAAGGUUGAUCUGACUUUGCUAGGUUAAGAUCAUUGGAUUUAGGGGAUUGAUGGAAUGUACAUUCCAUCUCCCAAAAUGAAUGAAUGAUCUUAAUUUGGUAAAAGUCUUUCCUUGACCAAUUUGUG
RNAcentral lists this long non-coding RNA (200 nucleotides) under Lathyrus oleraceus (garden pea). Its description in RNAcentral is "Pisum sativum (pea) long non-coding RNA (PSAT_LNC038239)". Lineage: Eukaryota; Viridiplantae; Streptophyta; Magnoliopsida; Fabales; Fabaceae. The record is from RNAcentral.